GUUGAACGCUGGCGGCGUGCCUAAUACAUGCAAGUAGAACGCUGAAGGAGGAGCUUGCUCUUCUGGAUGAGUUGCGAACGGGUGAGUAACGCGUAGGUAACCUGCCUGGUAGCGUGGGAUAACUUUUGGAAACUAUAGCUAAUACCGCAUAACAACAGUUCUUGCAUGAUAACUGUUUAAAAGUGGCAACUGCUCCACUACCAGAUGGCCCUGCGUUGUAUUAGCUAGUUGGUGAGGUAACGGCUCACCAAGGCGACGAUACAUAGCCGACCUGAGAGGGUGAGCGGCCACACUGGGACGGAGACACGGCACAGACGCCUACGGGAGGCAGCAGUAGGGAAUCGGCGGCAAUGGACGGAAGUCUGACCGAGAAACGCAGCGUGAGUGAAGAAGGUUUUCGGAUCGUAAAGCUCUGUUGUAAGAGAAGAACGAGUGUGAGAGUGGAAAGUUCAGAAUGUGACGGUAUCUUACCAGAAAGGGACGGCUAACUACGUG
This 495-nucleotide ribosomal RNA is filed under the name uncultured bacterium. Its description in RNAcentral is "partial 16S ribosomal RNA". It matches the Rfam family "Bacterial small subunit ribosomal RNA", at positions 28 to 507 of the family's 1533-position model. The record is from RNAcentral.